Molecule: long non-coding RNA, 511 nt
Organism: Chelonia mydas (Green sea turtle)
Lineage: Eukaryota; Metazoa; Chordata; Testudines; Cheloniidae
Exons: 3
Source: RefSeq, a predicted model, not a curated record
CAAACCAGCAAAUAGUUAAUAAGCAUAGAAUUUAUUUCCCUUUCACCAGACAGAGUGAUCUGUUAGACAUUUCAAAUAUUGCCUUAUCACAAUAAUAAGUUGUUUAUCCUUUUGUUGCAGCAUAAGCAAGCAGAGGUGUUUCAACUGAUUUAGAAGCUGACAUUGAAUGAGUGUUGGGUAACCUGUUAAUGGAGCUAUCUAAUAACACAAGGCACAUAUGCAAAACUAAGCUGAAUGAUAAAGAACAUUCCUGGACAAUUUCAAAUGCGUGGGCCAAAUGUGUGAGACAUCCACGAUGAAGAUUGUAGGAUCCAGAUGACUGAAGACAGCAAUGGACUGAUGGACACCGACUGUGAAUGGCAGAUGGAAUGAACAGUGAAUGGUGGUCAUAGACUCAGGAAAUGAGUCUGCUGAGCCACUAAACCCAAGAAGAAGAAGAAGAAAGAAGGGAAACACUGAGGAGAAGAAAGCCUGAACUCCAGCUGGAAAGGGCUGAGACUGGUGGCUUGGA